CGGGUGAGUAACACGUGGAUAACCUACCUAUAAGACUGGGAUAACUUCGGGAAACCGGAGCUAAUACCGGAUAAUAUAUUGAACCGCAUGGUUCAAUGGUGAAAGACGGUUUUGCUGUCACUUAUAGAUGGAUCCGCGCCGCAUUAGCUAGUUGGUAAGGUAACGGCUUACCAAGGCAACGAUGCGUAGCCGACCUGAGAGGGUGAUCGGCCACACUGGAACUGAGACACGGUCCAGACUCCUACGGGAGGCAGCAGUC
RNAcentral lists this ribosomal RNA (259 nucleotides) under uncultured Staphylococcus sp. RNAcentral describes it as "partial 16S ribosomal RNA". It matches the Rfam family "Bacterial small subunit ribosomal RNA", at positions 103 to 355 of the family's 1533-position model. The record is from RNAcentral. Lineage: Bacteria; Bacillati; Bacillota; Bacilli; Caryophanales; Staphylococcaceae.